Molecule: unclassified non-coding RNA, 285 nt
Filed under: Glomus sp.
Lineage: Eukaryota; Fungi; Glomeromycota; Glomeromycetes; Glomerales; Glomeraceae
Description: partial contains 5.8S ribosomal RNA and internal transcribed spacer 2
Rfam family: 5.8S ribosomal RNA (bases 1-65)
Source: RNAcentral
GUGAAUCAUCAAAUUUUUGAACGCAAAUUGCACUCUCUUCGGAGAGUAUGCCUAUUUGAGUGUCAGCCUAAAAAAAUUCGACAUAGUCUCUGUUUCGCGUUGAUAUUCGUCGGAAAUUGGGUCAUCUUAAACCUUUUGGUUUUAAGCGGCUUAAAAUUUUCUUUACGAUUCCACGAACGUUUCUAAGAUUUACUUCUUAUAUGUUUAAUGUAUCUAUCUUUAUUAGACGUGGCUGUUGCAUCGGUUUUCUUCCAUAAAUAUUUCGCUACCUGACCUCAGACAGGU